GACGAACGCUGGCGGCGUGCUUAACACAUGCAAGUCGAACGGAAAGGCCCUGCUUUUGUGGGGUGCUCGAGUGGCGAACGGGUGAGUAACACGGGAGUAACCUGCGCUUGACUUUGGGAUAACUUCAGGAAACUGGGGCUAAUACCGGAUAGGAGCUGCUGCUGCAUGGUGGGGGUUGGAAAGUUUCGGCGGUUGGGGAUGGACUCGCGGCUUAUCAGCUUGUUGGGGGGGUAGUGGCUUACCAAGGCUUUGACGGGUAGCCCGCCUGAGAGGGUGACCGGGCACAUUGCUACUGAGAUACGCCCCAGUCUCCUACGGGGGGCAGUAGUGGGGAAUAUUACCCAAUCGGCCGAAGCCUGAUGCGGAAAUGCCGCGUGCGGGAUGCCCGCCUUCGGGUUGGAAACCGCUUUAGCCUGUGACGAAGCGUGAGUGACGGUAAUGGGUAAAGAAGCACCGGCUAACUACGUG
RNAcentral lists this ribosomal RNA (468 nucleotides) under uncultured bacterium. RNAcentral describes it as "partial 16S ribosomal RNA". It matches the Rfam family "Bacterial small subunit ribosomal RNA", at positions 28 to 507 of the family's 1533-position model. The record is from RNAcentral.